This 2049-nucleotide long non-coding RNA is filed under the name Nicotiana tabacum (common tobacco). Its description in RNAcentral is "long non-coding RNA (NTAB_LNC003735)". Lineage: Eukaryota; Viridiplantae; Streptophyta; Magnoliopsida; Solanales; Solanaceae. The record is from RNAcentral.
CAACGUGAGGCAAUUAGGAGAAAACGAAAAAAAAAAGGACAAAAAGCCAAAGGGAGUUGGGGAAAGGGGUACGCAGCAUAUCUGCUUCAAUUGAAACAGAAGCUGAAGAAAAGAGUUUGAGACAAAAAAAAUCCUUUAGCCAACAAUAUAUCAACCAGGAAAAAAUAAAGAAAGGAAAAGUUACUGGUGUUCUUAGCGCCAGAGUACCGUGCUUCACUAAAAUAUUGGCAUAUGUUUUCUAUAUUCAACAAUAGAUUCCAGGUAAUUACAUGGAAUUCUUCUUCUUUUUAAAUAGUAUUAUUUUAUAUACAUGAUUCUUAUAGGACUGAGUAGAUAUGAUUUUGAAAUUUGAUUAAGAGUUUAAAAGAUAAAGUUUAGAAAAUACGGAAAAAAUUCAUGAGACUUUUCCAUGAAUUAACUGGGUAUAUUAUAUGAAAUAGGUUGUGUUUGAUGGAUUUUGGAUUGGUUUAGAUUACCAGUAGCGCGAGUCAGUAUAAUUUGACGAGUUGGAAAACAAAAAUUAGCCGUAAAAUCUCAAAAAUUGGGUAUUCUAAAUAAGCUAUGAAUUAGCCUAAACAAGGAAAUUAAUACGAGAUCGAUGUUGAUAUGGUUAUAGACUGAUUGAAGAAAGUCGUACGGAUCGUUCGAGGUGACGAGUUGGUAUUUCAUACGAGUACUGUGAGUAGUAAUCUUACCGCAAUUUGUGUUUUCAUUACUUGCAUGAUUUUUAAUAUGAAUAUAUUACCGAUUAUUUUGAGUUGCAUGUGGGACAAGUCUUUUACUCGAUAUGAUACCGAAAUAGUUAUUUGAGAUGAUUAUCGUUAUUUUAAAUAUUCUUGUUAUCACUAGAUAUGUUUUACCAUUUCUUGAAUUUACUGUUAUCGAAAUGAAAUUACAUAAUUUGAUAAGAACUGAAAUGUCCUAUAUUUUUUCAAAAUAUUUUCCUAUGAUUAUAUAGGAUUACAGAGACAAGUAUAAAUGGAAGUAGACUUUGAAGGCUCCCGUAGCUAAUGGCGAGUUCGUUAGACCUGGUGCACCUUGUAAUUAUCGAUUAUCGUUACAACCCUUGCUAGUGGGAAGGUAGAACUAGCAUACCCUUGCUAGUGGGAAGGUAGAACUAGCAUAUUGUUACUGAUUUCCCUCGAGUAGGGACUACCGUUAUAUUUGACUUCUUGCGAAGAAGUCCACAGUUAUACCGAUUACAUGAUCUGUUCUUUGAAACCUCCCAAAUAUGAAUAUUGAUAUUAUACAGUGGUUACCGAGCUUAUUAUUUAAUUGUCAAUUGUAUUAUACUACAAGAAAAACAUGAUGAGACUGAAAAUUGUUUAUUAUUUUUUAAAGGCAUUUUUAUGAUAUUUUCUUUUUAAUAUACUAGCAUGUUUUCUGACUUGUCCCCAAUAAAAACGAGUGUGGUUAAGUGUUAUUAAUUACUGAGCUAGCGACUCACUCCCUGCUAUUUUUUUACAGAGACAGCAGUUGACGCAGGUGAAGGUUUUGUUAAUUAGAGCGCGUAGGUUGAUACUUCUUGGUGAGCCCUGCACUCAAUCGCGUGGGCGAAGAGUUUUAUUUAUUUGCUAUAGUCUUUUCUUUUGAACUCUUAGAUUCGCUCCAUAGUCAUUCUUUUAGUGACAUGAGUAUUCUUUCGUUAUUAUAGAUUUAAGAUGAGUAUUGCAUUUUCUUAUCGAAUUGGAGAUAAAUUAGUAUUGCUGGUUGUUAGUGUGUUAAUUAUUAAUGGUGGAGACUUGUUUUGAUUAAUUGAUAAAUUGUUGGUUGGUUGGUUUGAUAUUAGGAUGGUUGGUUGUUGAUUUUGAGACAGGAAAUUAUUUUUGGAUAGUCCUAAAAUAGGGAAAACUUUGUCCGAUUUUCUGUAAAAUACUGAUGAGGCUUACUUGGGGACACUUGUUCCGGAGUGCCAGUCAUGAUCCAAAUUGGGUCGUGAUAGUUAAUUGACCAUUUUAUUGCAUAAAUUGCUGAGCACGAAUUCUAUGUUCUACUUGGGAUGCUUAAACUCUGGGCGUAGUGCACCAAUAGCCACUUUUAAGCCUGUUA